RNAcentral lists this ribosomal RNA (392 nucleotides) under uncultured bacterium. RNAcentral describes it as "partial 16S ribosomal RNA". It matches the Rfam family "Bacterial small subunit ribosomal RNA", at positions 961 to 1352 of the family's 1533-position model. The record is from RNAcentral.
UAGAAGAACCUUACCAAGGUUUGACAUCUCCCGAGNUCCUGCAGAGAUGUGGGGUCCUUUGGGGGUGCGUGACAGGUGGUGCAUGGCUGUUGUCAGCUUGUGUUGUGAGAUGUUGGGUUAAGUCCCGCAACGAGCGUAACCCUUGUUCCAUGUUGCCAGCCGGUUAUGGCGGGGANUCAUGGGAGACUGCCGGGGUCAACUCGGAGGAAGGUGGGGAUGACGUCAAGUCAUCAUGCCCCUUAUGUCCUGGGCUUCAAACAUNGUNCAANGGCUGGUNCCAANGGGUGNGAUNCCGUGGGGNGGGAGGNAAUUCCUUAAAGCCGGUCUCAGUUCGGAUUGGGGUCUGCAACUCGACCCCAUGAAGUNUGGAGUCGCUAGUAAUCGCAGAUCAG